Molecule: ribosomal RNA, 891 nt
Filed under: Verruciconidia persicina
Lineage: Eukaryota; Fungi; Ascomycota; Sordariomycetes; Hypocreales; Bionectriaceae
Description: LSU rRNA
Rfam family: Eukaryotic large subunit ribosomal RNA
Source: RNAcentral
GCAUAUCAAUAAGCGGAGGAAAAAGAAACCAACAGGGAUUGCCUCAGUAACGGCGAGUGAAGCGGCAACAGCUCAAAUUUGAAAUCUGGCCCUAGGCCCGAGUUGUAAUUUGCAGAGGAUGUUUCUGGCGAGGUGCCUUCCGAGUUCCCUGGAACGGGACGCCAUAGAGGGUGAGAGCCCCGUACGGUUGGUCGCUAAGCCUCUGUGAAACUCCUUCGACGAGUCGAGUAGUUUGGGAAUGCUGCUCUAAAUGGGAGGUAUACGUCUUCUAAAGCUAAAUACCGGCCAGAGACCGAUAGCGCACAAGUAGAGUGAUCGAAAGAUGAAAAGCACUUUGAAAAGAGGGUUAAAUAGUACGUGAAAUUGUUGAAAGGGAAGCGCUUAUGACCAGACUUGGACCGGUUGAUCAUCCAUCGUUCUCGGUGGUGCACUCUGCCGGUUCAGGCCAGCAUCAGUUCGUCCCGGGGGAUAAAGGCUUUGGGAAUGUGGCUCUUCGGAGUGUUAUAGCCCACUGCGUAAUACCCUGGGAUGGACUGAGGUUCGCGCUCCGCAAGGAUGCUGGCGUAAUGGUCAUCAGUGACCCGUCUUGAAACACGGACCAAGGAGUCGUCUUCGUAUGCGAGUGUUCGGGUGUCAAACCCCUACGCGUAAUGAAAGUGAACGUAGGAGAGAGCUUCGGCGCAUCUCCGACCGAUCCUGAUGUUCUCGGAUGGAUUUGAGUAAGAGCAUACGGGGCCGGACCCGAAAGAAGGUGAACUAUGCUUGUAUAGGGUGAAGCCAGAGGAAACUCUGGUGGAGGCUCGCAGCGGUUCUGACGUGCAAAUCGAUCGUCAAAUAUGAGCAUGGGGGGCGAAAGACUAAUCGAACCUUCUAGUAGCUGGUUUCCGCCGA